GAUGAACGCUGGCGGCGUGCCUAAUACAUGCAAGUCGAACGAGGUGCUUGAGUAGCAAUACAAGAGUAUCCUAGUGGCGAACGGGUGAGUAACGCGUGGACGACCUGCCCCAAAGUGUGGGAUAACAGUCCGAAAGGAUUGCUAAUACCUCAUGUGGUUAUCGGAUUUAGAAACUGAUAACUAAAGCAGCAAUGCGUCUUUGGGAGGGAUCUACGUCCCAUCAGCUAGUUGGUGAGGUAACGGCUCACCAAGGCGACGACGGGUAGGGGACCUGAGAGGGUGGCCCCCCACAAUGGAACUGAAACACGGUCCAUACACCUACGGGUGGCAGCAGUAGGGAAUAUUGCUCAAUGGGCGAAAGCCUGAAGCAGCAACGCCGCGUGUGCGAUGAAGGCC
This 396-nucleotide ribosomal RNA is filed under the name uncultured bacterium. Its description in RNAcentral is "bacterial SSU rRNA". It matches the Rfam family "Bacterial small subunit ribosomal RNA", at positions 28 to 416 of the family's 1533-position model. The record is from RNAcentral.